Molecule: ribosomal RNA, 491 nt
Filed under: uncultured bacterium
Lineage: Bacteria
Description: partial 16S ribosomal RNA
Rfam family: Bacterial small subunit ribosomal RNA
Source: RNAcentral
GUGAACGCUGGCGGUAGGCCUGACCCAUGCAAGUCGCACGGCAGCACAGUAAGAGCUUGCUCUUCCGGGUGGCGAGUGGCGGACGGGUGAGGAAUACAUCGGAAUCUACUUUUUCGUGGGGGAUAACGUAGGGAAACUUACGCUAAUACCGCAUACGACCUACGGGUGAAAGCAGGGGAUCUUCGGACCUUGCGCGAUUGAAUGAGCCGAUGUCGGAUUAGCUAGUUGGCGGGGUAAAGGCCCACCAAGGCGACGAUCCGUAGCUGGUCUGAGAGGAUGAUCAGCCACACUGGAACUGAGACACGGUCCAGACUCCUACGGGAGGCAGCAGUGGGGAAUAUUGGACAAUGGGCGCAAGCCUGAUCCAGCCAUACCGCGUGGGUGAAGAAGGCCUUCGGGUUGUAAAGCCCUUUUGUUGGGAAAGAAAAGCAGCAGGUUAAUACCCCGCUGUUCUGACGGUACCCAAAGAAUAAGCACCGGCUAACUUCGUG